CGACCGCGACCCCAGGUCAGACGGGACUACCCGCUGAGUUUAAGCAUAUCAAUAAGCGGUGGAGAAGAAA
RNAcentral lists this ribosomal RNA (70 nucleotides) under Plantago arborescens. RNAcentral's name for it is "partial 26S ribosomal RNA". It matches the Rfam family "Eukaryotic large subunit ribosomal RNA", at positions 1 to 64 of the family's 3401-position model. Lineage: Eukaryota; Viridiplantae; Streptophyta; Magnoliopsida; Lamiales; Plantaginaceae. The record is from RNAcentral.